CGGGGUAUAGUACAACGGUAGUAUGCACGAUUCGGGUUCGUGUGAUCUCGGUUCGAUUCCGGGUACCCCGA
Molecule: transfer RNA, 71 nt
Filed under: bacterium
Lineage: Bacteria
Description: tRNA-Pro
Rfam family: tRNA
About the family: Transfer RNA (tRNA) molecules are approximately 80 nucleotides in length. Their secondary structure includes four short double-helical elements and three loops (D, anti-codon, and T loops).
Source: RNAcentral